Molecule: unclassified non-coding RNA, 644 nt
Filed under: uncultured Prochlorococcus sp.
Lineage: Bacteria; Bacillati; Cyanobacteriota; Cyanophyceae; Synechococcales; Prochlorococcaceae
Description: partial 16S-23S ribosomal RNA intergenic spacer; may also contain 16S ribosomal RNA and 23S ribosomal RNA
Rfam family: tRNA (bases 304-376)
Source: RNAcentral
UUGUGGAGGAGGACGCCGAAGGUGGGGCUAAUGACUGGGGUGAAGUCGUAACAAGGUAGCCGUACCGGAAGGUGCGGCUGGAUCACCUCCUAACAGGGAGACAACAAAAUGUUUAAUAUUAUUAUUUUGUCACCUUAGGUCGAUCGGUAUCUCACGUUCUUAAUUUAUUAAGAAUUUCAUUUCCUAAGUUUUUCUAGGUCACACCCAUUAUUUUCCUGGGCCAUUAGCUCAGGUGGUUAGAGCGCACCCCUGAUAAGGGUGAGGUCCCUGGUUCAAGUCCAGGAUGGCCCAUAUCUCUAUGUUGGGGGUAUAGCUCAGUUGGUAGAGCGCCUGCUUUGCAAGCAGGAUGUCAGCGGUUCGAGUCCGCUUACCUCCACUGAUUACCACCUCUUCCAUAAUCUGUAGAAAGGAAAAUUUUGAGUUGUGACAAAAUUCUGAACGAAUCUAGCUUCCUAAUGAAAGCAUUAAGAUGCUGGACUCAUUGAAUUAAUUUCAUUGUUUUCAGAGAACCUUGACAACUGCAUAGAUUAUUUUUAAAGACAAUAAGCAUCUUUAAUGAUGCAGAUUUAUUAUUUUUGCAAAUGCAUUAAUAACAAUUCUAUUAAGCUGAUGCUUCAAUUAUGAAGUUAUUGGUCAAGCUACAA